UUAAGACUUGUAGUGAUGUUUAG
RNAcentral lists this microRNA (23 nucleotides) under Gallus gallus (chicken). Its description in RNAcentral is "gga-miR-499-5p". Its record names the gene gga-miR-499-5p. The record is from miRBase by way of RNAcentral. Lineage: Eukaryota; Metazoa; Chordata; Aves; Galliformes; Phasianidae.